Molecule: transfer RNA, 85 nt
Organism: Felis catus (domestic cat)
Lineage: Eukaryota; Metazoa; Chordata; Mammalia; Carnivora; Felidae
Rfam family: tRNA
About the family: Transfer RNA (tRNA) molecules are approximately 80 nucleotides in length. Their secondary structure includes four short double-helical elements and three loops (D, anti-codon, and T loops). Further hydrogen bonds mediate the characteristic L-shaped molecular structure. tRNAs have two regions of fundamental functional importance: the anti-codon, which is responsible for specific mRNA codon recognition, and the 3' end, to which the tRNAs corresponding amino acid is attached (by aminoacyl-tRNA synthetases). tRNAs cope with the degeneracy of the genetic code in two manners: having more than one tRNA (with a specific anti-codon) for a particular amino acid; and 'wobble' base-pairing, i.e. permitting non-standard base-pairing at the 3rd anti-codon position.
Source: Rfam
GCCUGGGUGGCUCAGUCGGUUGAGCGUCUGACUUCAGCUCAGGUCAUGGUCUCACGGUUCGUGGGUUCGAGCCCCGCGUCGGGCU